This is a long non-coding RNA of Oncorhynchus tshawytscha (Chinook salmon), 3137 nucleotides long. NCBI's taxonomy places the organism in Eukaryota, Metazoa, Chordata, Actinopteri, Salmoniformes, Salmonidae. The record is from Ensembl.
GCACAGCAAACAGUUCAAUAGUUUAAGCAUAUUUUGCAGGACUAUUAUUAACAUAUUGUUUCAGAAUAUAAAAUAUAAUAUAUAUAUAUGCAUAUACAUAUACUGUAUAUAUACUGUAUAUGUCUUAAGUGGGAUAGCAAUAAGUGACAGAGUUGACAAGGAACUGACGGAGGUGACGGAGGUGACGGAACUGACGGAGGUGACGGAACUGACGGAGGUGACGGAACUGACGGAGGUGACGGAACUGACGGAGGUGACGGAACUGACGGAGGUGACGGAACUGACGGAGGUGACGGAGGUGACGGAACUGACGGAGGUGACGGAACUGACGGAGGUGACGGAACUGACGGAGGUGACGGAAGUGACAGAACUGACGGAACUGACGGCGAUGACGGAACUGACGGAACUGACGGAGGUGACGGAACUGACGGAACUGACGGAACUGACGGAGGUGACGGAAAUGACGGAGGUGACGGAACUGAUGGAGAUGACGGAAGUGACGGAACUGACGGAGGUGACGGAACUGACGGAAGUGAUGGAACUGACGGAGGUGACGGAAAUGACGGAGGUGACGGAACUGAUGGAGAUGACGGAAGUGACGGAACUGACGGAGGUGACGGAACUGACGGAGGUGACGGAACUGACGGAGGUGACGGAGGUGACGGAACUGACGGAGGUGACGGAACUGACGGAGGUGACGGAACUCACGGAGGUGACGGAACUGACGGAGGUGACGGAACUGACGGAACUGACGGAGGUGACGGAACUGACGGAGAUGACGGAACUGACGGAGAUGACGGAGGUGACGGAACUGACGGAACUGACGGAGGUGACGGAACUGACGGAGGUGACGGAACUGACGGAGGUGACGGAAGUGACAGAACUGACGGAACUGACGGAGGUGACGGAACUGACGGAACUGACGGAGGUGACGGAACUGACGGAAGUGACGGAACUGACGGAGGUGACGGAAAUGACGGAGGUGACGGAACUGAUGGAGGUGACGGAAGUGACGGAACUGACGGAGGUGACGGAGGUGACGGAACUGACGGAGGUGACGGAACUGACGGAGGUGACGGAACUGACGGAGGUGACAGGUGACGGAACUGACGGAACUGACGGAACUGACGGAGGUGACGGAGGUGACGGAACUGACAGAGGUGACGGAGGUGACAACUCAAAACAGACAUUUAUUUGUCGAUUAAAACAACAAAAAAGUUCAAUACAAAAAUGUGUAAAAUUAUUUUGUUUGAAAAAUCCCUCAAUAACAUGAUCAGAUCAAUAACAUGAUCAGAUCUUUCAGAUUUUCUGACAGAGUUGAUGUUGUACUAAUUGCAUAUUUUUUACUAAUUUAGUCAAGUGGUAUACUACGUAGCAAUUUUGUUUUUUGCUCAAUUGCUUUUUUUGGCUCUAAAACCUAAUUAAAUUUAACAUAUUCUACAUUAAUUUUAUACCUUUAUUUAACUAGGCAAGUCAGUUAAGAACAAAUUCUUAUUUUCAAUGACGGCCUAAGAACUGCAGUUUCAGGGGCAGAACGACAGCUCAGGGAUUUGAACUUUGCAACCUUCCGGUUACUAGUCCAACGCUCUAACCACUAGGCUACCCUGCCGCCCCAUCUAUAAUCUAUAAGGUAGAUGGAGUUGACUGGUUGUGACCAUGGGGGGGGGAUCAAUAAUAUUUGUUUAAUGUAGCUGCCCAUUCUCGUUCCUGAAUAAUUUGAGUUGACCAAAACUCCAAACAGUUCUGAGAUAAAUAUUCCUUGACGUCAGAGAAGGGACAUGAUAUCCUACUUCAGUUAAUAUCCAUUAUUCUCAGUUUGUUGGAAAUGGAAAUUAAUAAUAUUGAAAAUAUUUAGGAAAAUUACCCUGAAUAAAAAUAUUUUUCCUCAUAAAAUUCCCCUAAAUGUAAUUUUUUUAGCCUAGUGGUUAGAGCGUUGGACUAGUAACCAGAAGGUUGCAAGUUCAAACCCACGAGCUGACAAGGUACAAAUCUGUUGUUCUGCCCCUGAACAGGCAGUUAACCCACUGUUCCUAGGCCGGCAUUGAAAAUACUAGUUAAAUAAAGGUUAACUAAAAAAAAAUGUUUAAAAAAAUAAAUAAUAGAUUGUCCUGACUUUCAAGAAUCCCUGAAUGACAUUCUGAGUGUAUCUAAGGGUCAGGGGACAGGCUAGAAGAGACGUGUCUAAGGGUCAGGGGACAGGCUAGAAGAGAAGUGUCUAAGGGUCAGGGGACAGGCUAGAAGAGAAGUGUCUAAGGGUCAGGGGACAGGCUAGAAGAGAAGUGUCUAAGGGUCAGGGGACAGGCUAGAAGAGACGUGUCUAAGGGUCAGGGGUCAGUUUGGGACAGGGUGCCUCUCUCUCUCUUGUGCUUCUGUGACUUUAUUCUUCUAUUUCCAUCGGAUGAGACAACAACAACAGCAAAAAGGUUCCAGUUUCUCGUGGAAUGCCGCUCUAUACUGAACGUAACGUAGUGUGUUCAUCUUCUCUCUCUCUCCUUCCAAAUCAUGUUUUACUGGAAGUUGAAAUAACAUUAUAGAGAUCAUUUUACAUAGGAAGUUAAAAAAUGCCUAAACGUUACUAAAUGUCCUGUAAAAUAUGUAAUGGUUGUUAUUAUUAUUAUUAGUUGUUGAUUAUUGGCAUCAGAAGUCGGAAGGGAGUCGGUACAAUUAUAGAAAUAGGAUGACUAGAACGGAGGUGCCAUUCAAGUCGAUGGGUCCAAGAGGUGGACUGGCGGCCAUGAUUCUAUUUCUAUGGGAACAAUGUAUCUGUAUUGUAAGCUUCUGUUCUAUCCUUCCUGUUUCCAUGGAUUCCCCCUUCCUGUUCCCCUCCUUCCUGUUUCCUGUUCCCCCCCACAAAAAAAACUUUCUUUGCACUUCCAUUUUGUUUUGCAUAUUGUAAAUAUCUCUGUACAUUAUUUAUUCGCAGUCUUUAUGUAAUAAUGGUGAAUGACAGUUUAAAAGUGACAAUCAUCUUUUAUGGGUUUGUUGAUUUGAUUAUGUUGUUGUUGCUGUUGUUUUUUUUGUCAUUAUUGUACGAUGGAUAAAUUACACUGUAAAAAGCAUAUAAAUGUAUCUGCAGUAUAAAAAAACAAAAGAUUGUUGGAGGUGUGGUUGUUUUUUUUCUCCAGUUUUCAGACGAG